UUUUUCAAUGUUCAUAAAUUCAGAACAAAAAAAAUCUCAUUUAAAAAAUUCAAGUCCUAUAAAUUCAAUAGGCCAAAUUCAGCGUCACAUGACCAACCUAGCAUAACUUGAUUGACAGCUGUCAGUUUGAUUUCAGACAGAAUUGAUUGUUUAUCCUCAGUUUCCUGACAGCAGAGGUGCAUUGUGGGAGUUUUCUCUCCUUCCGUAAAUAUAACUAGCUGUGAAUAUUGUUUCUCCGUUGUCUUUUAUUCUGAUGCGUUUCCUCCUGAGGUUGACCUGUUUCCAUGGUGACAGCGGUGUGUAAGUGGGCGUGUCCGCUGCGUCUGCGCUCUUUGAUCCUAAUUGGCUCAGCUGGCCUCCGACACAAACGCGCGGCAGCAGAAGGCGGUGGACGCUGAGUCCAAAGCCCCGUGUGCCUCUGGGAACACGGUCUGCCUGCAUCCACCUGGGUCGGAUCAGGACGAGCACCACCCGCCGGCCAAUAGGAUUAGAGCAGCAGUGGCAGGGCCCCGCCUCCUGUUUCCACGGUGAUCUAAAAAGGGCAAAUCUCGGUCACAGAUUAAUCAGGCUCGUCGUCAAACGCCGUCAGACGCCGGUUUCUAAUUGAACACGGCGAGCUGCGUCUCCACGGCGACAGACCACAGGCCUCGGCGACCACCGGCGACUGGAGCAGCAUGCGUUUAGCCCCGCCCCCCCCCCCGUCCUCCUCCUCACUGUGUAGCCACGCCUCUGUUUCCUUUAACCCUGUGUUUCCUCACUUGGACCUGUAGCAGCAGCAGAACGCCAGCUCUGAACCUGACGCCAAGAGGUGGGCGGAGCUUACGGUCAAAGGUCACCACAGAAGAAGAAAAAAAACAGUAGAACUGAAAAA
Sphaeramia orbicularis (orbiculate cardinalfish) is the source of this 871-nucleotide long non-coding RNA. RefSeq lists it as uncharacterized. NCBI's taxonomy places the organism in Eukaryota, Metazoa, Chordata, Actinopteri, Kurtiformes, Apogonidae. The record is from RefSeq and is a predicted model, not a curated record. The transcript is spliced from 2 exons.